AGCUCCACAAGCGUAUAUUAAUGUUGUUGCAGUUAAAAAGCUCGUAGUUGGAUAUCUGUCAUGGUGGGUCUGGCCCAAUGACUUUUUGGUCGUUGUGUGCCGGCAGCCUUCGGGCGUGCUCGCUUGACAUCCUUCAGGAGAACCGUUCUGCCAUUCACUUGGUUGGGGCGAGGAUCCUGAUCGUUUACUUUGAACAAAUUAGAGUGUUUAACGCAGGCUAUAUGUCGCGAAUAGAUUAGCAUGGAAUAAUAAGAUAGGACUUCGGCACAGGCUUCUGGUCGAUAUCUAUUUUGUUGGUUUCUAGAGCUGAAGUAAUGAUUGAUAGGGAUAGUUGGGGGUGCUUGUAUUGCUGGGCCAGAGGUGAAAUUCUCGGAUUCUAGUAAGACAAACUUUUGCGAAA
RNAcentral lists this ribosomal RNA (400 nucleotides) under phytoplankton environmental sample. RNAcentral describes it as "partial small subunit ribosomal RNA". It matches the Rfam family "Eukaryotic small subunit ribosomal RNA", at positions 587 to 950 of the family's 1831-position model. The record is from RNAcentral.